GUAGGAGGCGAGCGUUAUCCGGAUUCACUGGGCGUAAAGCGCGUGCAGGUGGUUCGGUAAGUUGGGCGUGAAAUCUCCCGGCUCAACUGGGAGAGGUCGUUCAAUACUACCGAACUUGAGAGCAGAAGAGGAAGAUGGAAUUCCCGGUGUAGUGGUGAAAUGCGUAGAUAUCGGGAGGAACACCAGUGGCGAAGGCGAUCUUCUGGUCUGUUUCUGACACUCAGACGCGACAGCUAGGGUAGUAAACGGGAUUAGAGACCCCGGUAAUCCUAGCCGUAAACGAUGUGAACUUGGCGUUGGUGGGUUAAACUCCAUCAGUGCCGUAGCAAACGCGAUAAGUUCACCGCCUGGGGACUACGGCCGCAAGGUUA
This 371-nucleotide ribosomal RNA is filed under the name uncultured bacterium. Its description in RNAcentral is "bacterial SSU rRNA". It matches the Rfam family "Bacterial small subunit ribosomal RNA", at positions 527 to 896 of the family's 1533-position model. The record is from RNAcentral.